This 433-nucleotide ribosomal RNA is filed under the name uncultured bacterium. RNAcentral describes it as "partial 16S ribosomal RNA". It matches the Rfam family "Bacterial small subunit ribosomal RNA", at positions 29 to 507 of the family's 1533-position model. The record is from RNAcentral.
AGCGAACGCUGGCGGCAGGCCUAACACAUGCAAGUCGAACGAACUCUUCGGAGUUAGUGGCGGACGGGUGAGUAACACGUGGGAACGUGCCUUUUGGUUCGGAAUAACUCAGGGAAACUUGUGCUAAUACCGAAUGUGCCCUUCGGGGGAAAGAUUUAUCGCCAUUAGAGCGGCCCGCGUCUGAUUAGCUAGUUGGUGAGGUAACGGCUCACCAAGGCGACGAUCAGUAGCUGGUCUGAGAGGAUGACCAGCCACACUGGGACUGAGACACGGCCCAGACUCCUACGGGAAGCAGCAGUGGGGAAUCUUGCGCAAUGGGCGAAAGCCUGACGCAGCCAUGCCGCGUGAAUGAUGAAGGUCGUAGGAUUGUAAAAUUCUUUCACCGGGGACGAUAAUGACGGUACCCGGAGAAGAAGCCCCGGCUAACUUCGUG